RNAcentral lists this non-coding RNA (23 nucleotides) under Cricetulus griseus (Chinese hamster). The record is from RNAcentral. Lineage: Eukaryota; Metazoa; Chordata; Mammalia; Rodentia; Cricetidae.
AUAGAAAGGGGAAUUUGUUUAAC